AACGUAGGAGGCAAGCGUUAUCCGGAAUCACUGGGCGUAAAGGGCGUCUAGGCGGCACGAUAAGCGAGGUGUGAAAGCUCCUGGCUCAACUAGGAGAGUGCGCUUCGAACUGUCGAGCUACGAGGGCAGGCGAAGGGGGUGGAAUUCCCGGUGGAGUGGUGGAAUGCGUAGAGAUCGGGAGGAACACCCGUGGCGAAAGCGGCCCCCUAGCCUGAACCUGACGCUGAAGCGCGAAAGCGUGGGGAGCAAACGGG
RNAcentral lists this ribosomal RNA (254 nucleotides) under uncultured bacterium. Its description in RNAcentral is "partial 16S ribosomal RNA". It matches the Rfam family "Bacterial small subunit ribosomal RNA", at positions 524 to 776 of the family's 1533-position model. The record is from RNAcentral.